RNAcentral lists this unclassified non-coding RNA (251 nucleotides) under uncultured fungus. Its description in RNAcentral is "partial contains 5.8S ribosomal RNA, internal transcribed spacer 2, and large subunit ribosomal RNA". The record is from RNAcentral. Lineage: Eukaryota; Fungi.
AACGCACAUUGCGCCCGCCAGCAUUCUGGCGGGCAUGCCUGUCCGAGCGUCAUUUCAACCCUCAAGCACGGCUUGGUAUUGGGGCACUAGGUGUGAGCGUAGGCCCUGAAAACUAGUGGCGGACAGCCGAAGGGCCCGGGCGUAGUAGAAAUAUGUCGUCCCGGAGUUCCCGGUGUUUCCCCAGCCAUUAAACCCCCAAUGGUAUACAGAAGGUUGACCUCGGAUCAGGUAGGGUUACCCGCUGAACUUAA